AAAUUGAAGAGUUUGAUCAUGGCUCAGAUUGAACGCUGGCGGCAGGCCUAACACAUGCAAGUCGAACGGUAACAGGAAGAAGCUUGCUUCUUUGCUGACGAGUGGCGGACGGGUGAGUAAUGUCUGGGAAACUGCCUGAUGGAGGGGGAUAACUACUGGAAACGGUAGCUAAUACCGCAUAACGUCGCAAGACCAAAGAGGGGGACCUUCUGGCCUCUUGCCAUCGGAUGUGCCCAGAUGGGAUUAGCUAGUAGGUGGGGUAACGGCUCACCUAGGCGACGAUCCCUAGCUGGUCUGAGAGGAUGACCAGCCACACUGGAACUGAGACACGGUCCAGA
This 338-nucleotide ribosomal RNA is filed under the name Escherichia coli. RNAcentral's name for it is "bacterial SSU rRNA". It matches the Rfam family "Bacterial small subunit ribosomal RNA", at positions 1 to 335 of the family's 1533-position model. Lineage: Bacteria; Pseudomonadati; Pseudomonadota; Gammaproteobacteria; Enterobacterales; Enterobacteriaceae. The record is from RNAcentral.